RNAcentral lists this unclassified non-coding RNA (253 nucleotides) under Capnodiales sp. Its description in RNAcentral is "partial contains 5.8S ribosomal RNA, internal transcribed spacer 2, and large subunit ribosomal RNA". The record is from RNAcentral. Lineage: Eukaryota; Fungi; Ascomycota; Dothideomycetes; Capnodiales.
CGCACAUUGCGCCCUUUGGCAUUCCGAGGGGCAUGCCCGUUCGAGCGUCAUUAAAUCCAAUCAAGCCCGGCUUGGUAUUGGGCAUCGGGUCCCCCCGUGCCUCAAUUUCACCGGCUGGCCGUCGCCCGUCUUAGCGUUGUGACUCACUUCUCGCUACCGAUGGGGCCGGACCACGCCGUCAGAACUCACGAAUUUCAAUCGAAAUUUGAUUAAGGUUGACCUCGGAUCGGGUAGGAAUACCCGCUGAACUUAA